RNAcentral lists this microRNA precursor (163 nucleotides) under Oryza brachyantha (malo sina). RNAcentral describes it as "MIR812 microRNA precursor family". It matches the Rfam family "MIR812 microRNA precursor family", at positions 27 to 189 of the family's 205-position model. The record is from Rfam by way of RNAcentral. Lineage: Eukaryota; Viridiplantae; Streptophyta; Magnoliopsida; Poales; Poaceae.
UAUAAUUUUUGACUCUCGUCUUAUUUAAAUUUUUUUGCGAUUGAUAUUUUUAUUUUUAUUAGAUGAUAAAUCAUGAAUAGUAUUCUACGUGUGACUAUUUUUUUUUCUAAUUUUCUGAAUUUUUUCAAAUAAGACGGAUAGUCAAACGUUGGACACGGAAACC